RNAcentral lists this ribosomal RNA (1371 nucleotides) under uncultured bacterium. RNAcentral's name for it is "16S ribosomal RNA". It matches the Rfam family "Bacterial small subunit ribosomal RNA", at positions 28 to 1378 of the family's 1533-position model. The record is from RNAcentral.
GAUGAACGCUGGCGGCGUGCCUAAUACAUGCAAGUCGAGCGAACGGACGAGAAGCUUGCUUCUCUGAUGUUAGCGGCGGACGGGUGAGUAACACGUGGAUAACCUACCUAUAAGACUGGGAUAACUUCGGGAAACCGGAGCUAAUACCGGAUAAUAUUUUGAACCGCAUGGUUCAAAAGUGAAAGACGGUCUUGCUGUCACUUAUAGAUGGAUCCGCGCUGCAUUAGCUAGUUGGUAAGGUAACGGCUUACCAAGGCAACGAUGCAUAGCCGACCUGAGAGGGUGAUCGGCCACACUGGAACUGAGACACGGUCCAGACUCCUACGGGAGGCAGCAGUAGGGAAUCUUCCGCAAUGGGCGAAAGCCUGACGGAGCAACGCCGCGUGAGUGAUGAAGGUCUUCGGAUCGUAAAACUCUGUUAUUAGGGAAGAACAUAUGUGUAAGUAACUGUGCACAUCUUGACGGUACCUAAUCAGAAAGCCACGGCUAACUACGUGCCAGCAGCCGCGGUAAUACGUAGGUGGCAAGCGUUAUCCGGAAUUAUUGGGCGUAAAGCGCGCGUAGGCGGUUUUUUAAGUCUGAUGUGAAAGCCCACGGCUCAACCGUGGAGGGUCAUUGGAAACUGGAAAACUUGAGUGCAGAAGAGGAAAGUGGAAUUCCAUGUGUAGCGGUGAAAUGCGCAGAGAUAUGGAGGAACACCAGUGGCGAAGGCGACUUUCUGGUCUGUAACUGACGCUGAUGUGCGAAAGCGUGGGGAUCAAACAGGAUUAGAUACCCUGGUAGUCCACGCCGUAAACGAUGAGUGCUAAGUGUUAGGGGGUUUCCGCCCCUUAGUGCUGCAGCUAACGCAUUAAGCACUCCGCCUGGGGAGUACGACCGCAAGGUUGAAACUCAAAGGAAUUGACGGGGACCCGCACAAGCGGUGGAGCAUGUGGUUUAAUUCGAAGCAACGCGAAGAACCUUACCAAAAUCUUGACAUCCUUUGACAACUCUAGAGAUAGAGCUUUCCCCUUGCGGGGGACAAAGUGACAGGUGGUGCAUGGUUGUCGUCAGCUCGUGUCGUGAGAUGUUGGGUUAAGUCCCGCAACGAGCGCAACCCUUAAGCUUAGUUGCCAUCAUUAAGUUGGGCACUCUAAGUUGACUGCCGGUGACAAACCGGAGGAAGGUGGGGAUGACGUCAAAUCAUCAUGCCCCUUAUGAUUUGGGCUACACACGUGCUACAAUGGACAAUACAAAGGGCAGCGAAACCGUGAGGUCAAGCAAAUCCCAUAAAGUUGUUCUCAGUUCGGAUUGUAGUCUGCAACUCGACUACAUGAAGCUGGAAUCGCUAGUAAUCGUAGAUCAGCAUGCUACGGUGAAUACGUUCCCGGG